CAUCUUGGAUUUCAGCUGUUGGCAUCCAAACAACCUCAGGGCUGUUUUACCUGAGCAGAAUGUGGAUACCCUGCCGCAUGGGAACAAUAGACGUAGGGGUGUCUUGUUUAUUUAGCAGUUUACACAAGACAAAAGGUUGAUCCUCUGUGUGCAGACUUCCCGAGUUCCCUUCUCUACAAUAUGAUAAUAUUUACUAAAGGACUGCCUUGCCAUUCAAGAUUUCAAGAUGAAAACAGGAUUCUUCAGUGAAUUCUUUGAAGAAUGUGAUGUUGUGGAACUAUGAUGAUGUGUUAUGUAUAACAGUAAUUAAUCUUCAGUAACUUUGUCAUCAGUGACUUUUUAUAGACUGCAAAGGACAAGGGACGUUAUUGGCUAUAUACCGCCGAGAUUUUUUUCAUUUUUUCAACUUUCAUACUAUGCUUAAUUAUUCUUUUUAUUUACACAAAUAGGAUGUUCUUCUAAUCCCACUUACAUGAAAAUGACGUAAUAUUUUAUUAUGACGUCAUGAAUAUACGCUAAAGAUGAGCUGUUUAGCGGAAUCUGUUGAUUUGAAAUAAAUUAUGAAUAAACUUUAGCAAAAACUAAUACUUUUGCAUGCAACAACCAGAUUUAUAUUUUGCAUGUUUAAUUAUCCAUUAAUAUUCUUCUUUCAUUAUCAAUAUGGUGUCGGUUGUUGGCUGCAAACAAUAUGAAUUUUAAAAAAGAAUGAAUGCGAAAUCGGCUGUUUUCGAUACACAAAGUCAAUAUUUUGCAUGUUAUAGAACUGGAAAAAAAAAAUUUUGCAUGCAACAACCAGAUUUAUAUUUUGCAUGUUUAAUUAUCCAUUAAUAUUCUUCUUUCAUUAUCAAUAUGGUGUCGGUUGUUGGCUGCAAACAAUAUUAAUUUUAAAAAAGAAUGAAUGCGGAAAUUGGCCGUUUUCGUUACACAAAGUCAAUAUUUUGCAUGUUAUAGAACUGAAGCAAACUGUUCCAUCAUUUAACCUCAUAAACUUUUACUUUCUUUGCGAUUUAAUAAAUACAUGUAUGUCCAGUCAAACAAUUAAUGCGUUACCUAGUUUGCCAUAAAAAUCUGCACCCAAUAAAUGCAGAUGAUGUCUGCCUUUCGAGUCACGGAGGCGGAUCAAAAAUCCACCGCAUGAUGAAUGGAAAUUAUUCUACUUUCGUUUUUAAAGGUCACGGGAAUAUGUUUGGACGUCCUAACUUUUCAAAAUAAGAUUAUUUAAGAAUAAAUUGCAUUAAAAAAAAUAAUAAAAUCAAAGACACACAUAGACCUUUAAUAACUCGAAUUUAUUUUCUUUUUACAAAAAUCGGACCAAAAUUCGUUCAUUUUCGGCAAAAAUGGGUACUGAUACGUUAUAUCUCAAGAGCUAGAUAGUUAGGAUGUCUGUUACUUUUUUCGCUAAAUUUUAAACUAUCUUUUAUACAAAUAUAUCAAAUAUAAUGCGGGGUUUUUUUUUCUUACAUCAUUUUUUACGUACAUGCAUGUAUGUAUAUAUGAUGCAUGUUGAAAUUAAAUAUUACUACAUUAGUAAUUAGAUAUUGAUUCCAAAGGUUCUUAAAACGGUUUAAAUUAAAUAUAAAAUAACAGCAAAUCAUUAUUUAUAUCUUCCAGCGAGAUGUGGUUUCUUUAAAACUUCGAAAACCUGUGAUCGAUUUGAAACUUCGACCAUUGUGGUGGCAGAUUUUUAUUUCUAUAUUGCAUAUGAUUGAUUGAUUGAAUAUUGUUUAACGCCCCUCUUGAAAAUAUUUCACUCAUGGAGACCUCACCACUGCCGGUGAAGGGCUGCACAAUUUAGGCCUAUGCUCGGCGCUUAUGACCAUUGAGCAGGGAGGGAUCUUUAUCGUGCCACACCUGCUGUGACACGGAACCUCAGUUUUUGCGGUCUCAUCCGAAGACCGCCCCAUUUAGUCGCGUCUUACGACAAGCGACUUACUCAAACCCGGAUCCCCACGGGUUCAUAUAUAUACAUGUAUAUGUAAUAGAUGCACAUUUACAGGUACGCAUAUAUAACAAAGGUAAUUGGGCAGGAUGAACAUGUGUAUAUAUACAUGUAUAGAUAUAAAUUUUCAGACAACGUAGUAUCGAGGAGGGGUUGCCCCUCCACUUUGAGGGGGGGGGGGGGUGAUGUUGACCAUUCCCUUGCUAUGGGAACAACUUGACCAGCCUAAUGACACUUCAACUUUUAUCAAUCUUAUAAAAUAUAUAAUAUAUGUGUUGUGAUGAUUGUUACUAAAAGUGUAUAUUAGUAUUGACGUACGCCCCCUCCAUGAUUAGGAAUACUGGAGUAUAACCGUAAGGUGAUGUAGACACCUCUCUCUCUCUCUCUCUCUCUCUCUCUCUCUCUCUCUCUCUCUCUCUCUCUCUCUCUCAUGUCAAGGUGUUCUGGAUAGGCCUGGCCCGCACAUUGAAAAACGAAAAUACAUGCAUGAUAUUUAUUAAAUUCAUUUUUAUAAAAGGUCUGUUGUAGUUACAUAUACUGUCUCUUGGAAAUAGACACGUAGCAUCAUUUAUCGGGGGGGGGGGGGGGGGGGGGGGGGGGGGGGGGGUCGAAGGGAUAAGUUGGUAGUUAAUUAGCAAAUGAAAAAAAACCUUUCUGCCUGAUCUUCGAAUUCUUAAAUCGUCGGGGGUGGAGGGUUAUCCUUCGCUACAUGGGUUCAAUUAAUAAUUUUAAGCCUAUUUUUUUCUCAUUCAAUACUACUAUCAAGAAUAUGGGGGGGGGGGGGGGGGUCACUCAAUAUAUCCUUAUUCGCAUAUGAAAAUAAGUGCCUGGGAAAAGCAGUUACAUAUACCACAUUGUCUAUACAUGUACUCAAACAACUUCCCAGAGUCCGUUCUAAAUUUGGACUGAAUGUCGGUGCAUGCAAUGACAUGCCCACUGACUGAUUUAUUUUCAUUUAUCAAAGAUGAACACUAUAUGGAGAGAGAGAGUUGGAACUACUUUGUUGACCAUUUAGGGGAAUGUAAAGAUAUAAACACGGACACAUUUUUGUGAGGCUUUUAAAUACAUUGGACGCAUUUUUGUGAGGUUUUUAAAUGCAUUUGCUAUAUGA
Long non-coding RNA from Ostrea edulis (European flat oyster), 3050 nucleotides. RefSeq lists it as uncharacterized. Lineage: Eukaryota; Metazoa; Mollusca; Bivalvia; Ostreida; Ostreidae. The record is from RefSeq and is a predicted model, not a curated record. The transcript is spliced from 2 exons.